Long non-coding RNA from Dunckerocampus dactyliophorus (ringed pipefish), 1279 nucleotides. RefSeq lists it as uncharacterized. The record is from RefSeq and is a predicted model, not a curated record. Lineage: Eukaryota; Metazoa; Chordata; Actinopteri; Syngnathiformes; Syngnathidae. The transcript is spliced from 3 exons.
GGAAAUGUUGGUGGAAAAGUGAAGCUACUGUAUGAUUUUUACAGGGAAAAAAAAUGCAUUUCAAAAAUAAACCAGUCGGUGACCACAAAACCAACAAUAUGCUACAAUCUUAAACCUAAAUACAUGAAAAAAAGUAAUUUUAAAAUACUAAAAGUCAAGUUAGUAAUAUAAUUGAAGCACAAUUUCAUUCAUGAAUGUAUUUAUUCAUUUGGGAUAUGACAAAUAUGGACAAUUUAUUACAAUAAUUAUUUUCAAUAGGUUCAUUAAUAAACACAAUAUAUACAAAUAAUUUUGAAAAUACUAAAACUUAAAUAAUAUAAUUAUUGUAGAUAUUUAUUAACUUAGGAUAUUACUGUUACGCUUCAUUCCAAUUUUUAAAAAAUCAUUAAUAAACAAACAGUGCACCCUCACUACAUCGCGGUUCACCUUUCGCUGAUUUUUUAGUGCAAUUUUGUAUGUUUUUUUUUUAACAGCGUAUAAACGCGCAUUGUGUUCCUGCGUCCUUGUGGUGCAUUAGAGUGAUCGAUCAGUGCUCUGUUGUAUGUGUCUGUUAUUGUAUUUACCACUGCUACCAGCAGGGGGGGUUCUGAUUGGCUGUAGACCAAUCUCCUUGGUGCAGGACUGCCUGUUUGUUGUUGUAUGAUCGCGAGCUGCCAGCGAUCGUACAUGCUGAAUGACGGCAGAAGUUACGCGGCUGUGGGGCACGUGGAAUGCUGCAAAUGAAUCUUCGGUUCAUGGAGGACGAGGAGGAGGAAUAUGUUUGAACAAGGAUACAAAAACGCUACAGCCUAACAGCGCCAGGACGAGCCACGAUCAGAGGAGUGAAAUAUGCGUUUCCAACACACUUUCGCACUUUCAAUUAACGACCAAUGAAGACGUCCAAUUUGGUCCACUCUAUCACUGACGACUCCUUCUAAACAACAAUAAGAGCGAUGAUAACAAAGCGCUGAAGCAGACGCUGGUUCUCCUGAGUCGGGCGGAGUUCCUGGAUGAGCACCUCCUUUUAAUCACCUCAGCUGUGGCAGGAAGGUGUUGGACUGUUGCUUUGUUCUGGACGCUCCAUGUCACGCUUCAGCUAUCUCAUCCUCCAAGACAAUUUAUUAGCAUCCUUGUUUGAUUGUAUUUGUGCAUUCGUUUUGUUAGCUACCUUGCCUGCCUUCCUACAUAUCCAGUAGCCCGCCUGACUUUCCAGUAGUUUUUAGUUGCUUCGAGUUUACUUCUUUUUUCCACAAUGUAUGUUUUUUUCCACUCUUCGUUCCUGCAUUUUUCUGUCCCAUAA